This 327-nucleotide unclassified non-coding RNA is filed under the name soil metagenome. Its description in RNAcentral is "partial contains 5.8S ribosomal RNA, internal transcribed spacer 2, and large subunit ribosomal RNA". The stretch from base 1 to 120 matches the Rfam family "5.8S ribosomal RNA", at positions 35 to 154 of the family's 154-position model. The record is from RNAcentral.
GAUGAAGAACGUAGCGAAAUGCGGUAAGUAAUGUGAAUUGCAGAAUUCAGUGAAUCAUCGAAUCUUUGAACGCACAUUGCGCCCCUUGGUAUUCCGGGGGGCAUGCCUGUUCGAGCGUCAUUAUAACCCCUCAAGCUCAGCUUGGUGUUGGGGCCUGCCGACUGGCAGCCCUUAAAAUCAGUGGCGGCGCCAUCUGGCUCUAAGCGUAGUAAUUUCUCUCGCUAUAGAGUCCCGGUGGAUGCUUGCCAGCAACCCCCAACUUUCUAUGGUUGACCUCGGAUCAGGUAGGGAUACCCGCUGAACUUAAGCAUAUCAAUAAGCGGAGGA